GCCGGUGAGGUGUAACAGGUUGCACGGCAGUCUUCCAAACUGAAGGUAGCGAGUUCGAGGCUCGCCACCGGCU
This 73-nucleotide transfer RNA is filed under the name Mycobacterium sp. OAS707. RNAcentral's name for it is "tRNA-Gly". It matches the Rfam family "tRNA". Rfam says of the family: Transfer RNA (tRNA) molecules are approximately 80 nucleotides in length. The record is from RNAcentral. RNAcentral also lists the same sequence under 1 other name. Lineage: Bacteria; Bacillati; Actinomycetota; Actinomycetes; Mycobacteriales; Mycobacteriaceae.